CCUACGGGUGGCAGCAGUGGGGGAUAUUGCACAAUGGGGGAAACCCUGAUGCAGCGACGCCGCGUGGGCGAAGAAGUAUUUCGGGACGUAAAGCCCUAUCAGCAGGGAAGAAGAAAUGACGGUACCUGAGUAAGAAGCACCGGCGAAAUAAGUUCCAGCAGCCGCGGUAACGCGUAUGGUGCAAGCGUUAUCCGGAUUUACUGGGGUGAAAGGUAGGGCAGGCGUCACGGCAAGCCUGAUGUGAAAGCCCGCGGCCCAACCGCGGGACUGCAUUAGGAACUGCCGGGCUGGAGUGCCGGAGAGGUGGGCGGAAUUCCUGGUGUAGCGGUGAAAUGCGUAGAUAUAAGGAGGAACACCAGUGGCGAAGGCGGCCUACUGGACGGUGACUGACGCUGAGGCUCGAAAGCGUGGGGAGCAAACAGGAUUAGAUACCCCAGUAGUC
This 442-nucleotide ribosomal RNA is filed under the name uncultured bacterium. RNAcentral describes it as "partial 16S ribosomal RNA". It matches the Rfam family "Bacterial small subunit ribosomal RNA", at positions 338 to 795 of the family's 1533-position model. The record is from RNAcentral.